This 483-nucleotide ribosomal RNA is filed under the name uncultured bacterium. Its description in RNAcentral is "partial 16S ribosomal RNA". It matches the Rfam family "Bacterial small subunit ribosomal RNA", at positions 28 to 507 of the family's 1533-position model. The record is from RNAcentral.
GACGAACGCUGGCGGCGUGCUUAACACAUGCAAGUCGAACGAUGAAGCGGGUGCUUGCACUCGUGGAUUAGUGGCGAACGGGCGAGUAACACGUGAGUAACCUGUCCUUUUCUUUGGGAUAACGGCUGGAAACGGCUGCUAAUACUGGAUAUUCAGGCUGCAUCGCAUGGUGUGGUUUGGAAAGGUUUUUUCUGGGAUUGGGUGGGCUCGCGGCCUAUCAGCUUGUUGGUGGGGUGAUGGCUUACCAAGGCUUUGACGGGUAGCCGGCCUGAGAGGGUGGUCGGUCGCACUGGGACUGAGAUACGGCCCAGACUCCUACGGGAGGCAGCAGUGGGGAAUAUUGCACAAUGGACGAAAGUUUGAUGCAGCGACGCCGCGUGGAGGGUGUAGGCCUUCGGGUUGUGAACUCCUUUUUCUCGCGAAAAAGGCGCAGUUUUGGCUGUGUUGAUGGUAGUGGGGGAAGAAGCGCCGGCUAACUACGUG